This 501-nucleotide ribosomal RNA is filed under the name Amplimerlinius macrurus. RNAcentral describes it as "SSU rRNA". It matches the Rfam family "Eukaryotic small subunit ribosomal RNA", at positions 88 to 590 of the family's 1831-position model. The record is from RNAcentral. Lineage: Eukaryota; Metazoa; Nematoda; Chromadorea; Rhabditida; Merliniidae.
CGCGAACGGCUCAUUAUAACAGCUAUAAUUUACUUGAUCUUGACUUCCUACUUGGAUAACUGUGGUAAUUCUAGAGCUAAUACAUGCACCAAAGCUCCGACCUUACGGGAAGAGCGCAUUUAUUCGAACAAAACCAAGCGGCUUCGGCCGUUCGCAGUUGACUCAGAAUAACUAAGCUGAUCGCAUGGUCUUGAACCGGCGACGUGUCUUUCAAGUAUCUGCCUUAUCAACUUUCGAUGGUAGUGUAUCUGACUACCAUGGUGGUGACGGGUAACGGAGGAUAAGGGUUCGACUCCGGAGAAGGGGCCUGAGAAAUGGCCACUACGUCUAAGGAUGGCAGCAGGCGCGCAAAUUACCCACUCUCAGAAUGAGGAGGUAGUGACGAGAAAUAACGAGACCGUUCUCUACGAGGCCGGUCAUCGGAAUGGGUACAAUUUAAACCCUUUAACGAGUAUCUAUGAGAGGGCAAGUCUGGUGCCAGCAGCCGCGGUAAUUCCAGCU